GGUCAAUAGUACGUUGGGUUUAGGUCAACGGCAGCCGGGGGACACUACGGUGGGAAGCGGCGAACGGGUGAGUCACACGUCGGUCGAACCGCCCAUCCAGAACGGGGAACAACGAUUCGGAAACGAUCGCUAAUAACCGGAUAGGAACGAAAGUUUAAAGAAGCUCCCGGCAUCACCGACGGAUGAGCCCGCGGCGCAUUAGCUAGUUCGGUGGGGUAAAGGCCCACCAAGGCGACGAUGCGUAGCCGACCUGAGAGGGUGAACGGCCACACUGGGACUGAGACACGGCCCAGACUCCUACGGGAGGCAGCAGUAGGGAAUCUUCGGCAAUGGGCGAAAGCCUGACCGAGCAACGCCGCGUGAAUGAAGAAGGCCUUCGGGUUGUAAAAUUCUGUUAUAAGGGAAGAAAGGUGAUAGGAGGAAAUGACUAUCAAUUGACGGUACCUUAUGAGAAAGCCACGGCUAACUACGUGCCAGCAGCCGCGGUAAUACGUAGGUGGCAAGCGUUAUCCGGAAUUAUUGGGCGUAAAGAGCGCGCAGGUGGUUAAUUAAGUCUGAUGUGAAAGCCCACGGCUUAACCGUGGAGGGUCAUUGGAAACUGGUUGACUUGAGUGCAGAAGAGGGAAGUGGAAUUCCAUGUGUAGCGGUGAAAUGCGUAGAGAUAUGGAGGAACACCAGUGGCGAAAGCGGCUCUCUGGUCUGCAACUGACGCUGAGGCUCGAAAGCAUGGGUAGCGAACAAGAUUAAAUA
RNAcentral lists this ribosomal RNA (750 nucleotides) under uncultured bacterium. RNAcentral describes it as "bacterial SSU rRNA". It matches the Rfam family "Bacterial small subunit ribosomal RNA", at positions 60 to 784 of the family's 1533-position model. The record is from RNAcentral.